RNAcentral lists this ribosomal RNA (442 nucleotides) under uncultured Anaerolineaceae bacterium. Its description in RNAcentral is "bacterial SSU rRNA". It matches the Rfam family "Bacterial small subunit ribosomal RNA", at positions 923 to 1382 of the family's 1533-position model. The record is from RNAcentral. Lineage: Bacteria; Bacillati; Chloroflexota; Anaerolineae; Anaerolineales; Anaerolineaceae.
GCACAAGCAGCGGAGCGUGUGGUUUAAUUCGUUGCUACACGAAGAACUUACCUGGGUUUGACAUAUAGGUUGUAGGGAACUGAAAGGGACGACCCUUCGGGGAGCCUAUACAGGUGUUGCAUGGCUGUCGUCAGCUCGUGUCGUGAGAUGUUCGGUUAAGUCCGCUAACGAGCGCAACCCUCGUCGUAUGUUAUAUGUGUCAUACGAGACUGCCGGUAAAAGCCGGAGGAAGGUGAGGAUGAUGUCAAGUCAGCAUGACCUUUAUAUCCAGGGCUACACACACGCUACAAUGGUCUGUACAAUGGGUAGCCAAGCCGCGAGGCGGAGCCAAUCCUGAAAGCAGGCCUCAGUUCAGAUUGCAGUCUGCAACUCGACUGCAUGAAGCCGGAGUUGCUAGUAACCGCAGGUCAGCAAUACUGCGGUGAAUACGUUCCCGGGUCUU